GUUCGCGCGCACGGCUUGCUGCGAUCAUAAUGGGACCUUUGCACGAGAUAGUUUCAAAAUCAUUUAUUGGUCCAAUUGUGUUUGUGCACAUAAUAGACAUAAUAAAUUAGACCGCUAAUGUCGCUGCAAAUCUUGUGACCAACAUCUAGUAUGCCUAUUUUUGUGAUGGUACUCAAAGUGUCAAAUUUUCAUCAACUCAAUCAUAGCAAUCAUGCAUUCGAAACCAAAAUAUACACUCAAUCAACGUUCUUACGCGAGUGAAGUGUUUUGUUACCAAAAUGGGUUUUUCAUAUACUCUCAAGAGUUGUGAUUCAACGUACAGACGAAAGUCCCGUCUGGGUGUGUCGUUCUACAGAUUCCCUACAGAUACUGUGAUGGCCGCGCAAUGGAUGGCAAGUUUAAAGCAGAAUUAUCAAGAAUUGAAACAAAAUAGAGAUACAGCUUUUCGUUCCCGACACUUUUCGAACUGCUGCUUCAAGAGUGUCGGAGGGAGACGAUUCCUUACUGCUGCGGCGAAAUUUUACAAAUAAUUGUUUUAUCUUAAGUCCUUUAGACUAUAUGGUUCCAUGUAAGCGGUUCGAGUGCGUACAAGUACUAUUUCAACAUUGGGAGUUGUAUAUGUUUUAUUAAUCACUUUUUGUUCAAUUGUAUCCUUUAAAAAAAAAUCACAUCAUUCUUCAAUUGCUAUACGAUGGAGGGGAAAAACAAGAGAUGGAGUAUCUACUCUACAAUACAAAAAUCCAACUGCUUAUCCUUCCGACGAUCACGAACGCGAAUGAUAAAGAUUGAUCAAUAAAUAUAUUUUCAACACAA
Molecule: long non-coding RNA, 813 nt
Filed under: Aedes aegypti (yellow fever mosquito)
Lineage: Eukaryota; Metazoa; Arthropoda; Insecta; Diptera; Culicidae
Description: lncRNA AAEL021434
Source: RNAcentral